UCGGAUAUGGUGUAACGGCUAACAUUACCGUCUUUCAUUGUCUUUGCGUGGAUUAUGCGCGGUAGCUCGGGGUUCGAUUCCCCGUAUCCGAA
Non-coding RNA from Desarmillaria ectypa, 92 nucleotides. The record is from the annotation of a GenBank genome assembly. NCBI's taxonomy places the organism in Eukaryota, Fungi, Basidiomycota, Agaricomycetes, Agaricales, Physalacriaceae.